RNAcentral lists this ribosomal RNA (119 nucleotides) under Pteropus alecto (black flying fox). Lineage: Eukaryota; Metazoa; Chordata; Mammalia; Chiroptera; Pteropodidae. The record is from RNAcentral.
GUCUACGACCAUGCUACCCUGAACAAGCCUGAUCCCAUCUGAUCUCAGAAGCUAAGCAGAGUUGGGCCUGGUUAGUACUUGGAUGGGAGACCAUCUAAGAAGACCAGGUGCUGCAGAAG